AAGGAUUUAAGUUAAGUAAACUUUUAGCCUUCAAAGCUAAGUAUAGAUUUUAUCUAAGCCUUA
Molecule: transfer RNA, 63 nt
Filed under: Chapuisia ellenbergeri
Lineage: Eukaryota; Metazoa; Arthropoda; Insecta; Coleoptera; Chrysomelidae
Description: tRNA-Trp
Source: RNAcentral